This 356-nucleotide ribosomal RNA is filed under the name uncultured bacterium. Its description in RNAcentral is "bacterial SSU rRNA". It matches the Rfam family "Bacterial small subunit ribosomal RNA", at positions 9 to 346 of the family's 1533-position model. The record is from RNAcentral.
GAGUUUGAUCCUGGCUCAGGAUGAACGCUGGCGGCGUGCCUAACACAUGCAAGUCGAGCGAAGCGGUUUUAAGGAAGUUUUCGGAUGGAAUUAAAACUGACUGAGCGGCGGACGGGUGAGUAACGCGUGGGUAACCUGCCUCAUACAGGGGGAUAGCAGUUAGAAAUGGCUGCUAAUACCGCAUAAGCACACAGCUUCGCAUGGAGCAGUGUGAAAAACUCCGGUGGUAUGAGAUGGACCCCGCGUCUGAUUAGCUAGUUGGUAAGGUAACGGCUUACCAAGGCGACGAUCAGUAGCCGACCUGAGAGGGUGACCGGCCACAUUGGGACUGAGACACGGCCCAAACUCCUACGGGA